RNAcentral lists this ribosomal RNA (447 nucleotides) under uncultured bacterium. RNAcentral's name for it is "partial 16S ribosomal RNA". It matches the Rfam family "Bacterial small subunit ribosomal RNA", at positions 30 to 523 of the family's 1533-position model. The record is from RNAcentral.
AUUGAACGCUGGCGGCAUGCCUUACACAUGCAAGUCGAACGCCCCGCAAGGGGAGUGGCAGACGGGUGAGUAACACGUGGGAACGUACCCUUUGGUUCGGAAUAACUUGGGGAAACUCAAGCUAAUACCGGAUAAGCCCUUAUGGGGAAAGGUUUACUGCCGAAGGAUCGGCCCGCGUCUGAUUAGCUAGUUGGUGAGGUGAUGGCUCACCAAGGGGACGAUCAGUAGCGGGUCUGAGAGGAUGAUCAGCCACACUGGGACUGAGACACGGCCCAGACUCCUACGGGAGGCAGCAGUGGGGAAUAUUGGACAAUGGGGGCAACCCUGAUCCAGCCAUGCCGCGUGAGUGAUGAAGGCCUUAGGGUUGUAAAGCUCUUUUACCCGGGACGAUAAUGACUGUACCGGGAGAAUAAGCCCCGGCUAACUUCGUGCCAGCAGCCGCCGUAA